GGUGAGAUGGCCGAGUGGUUAUGGCGCUGCGUUCAGGUCACCAGAAAAACUUGAAUUCCAAGAAGAAUGAAAAACUUCGCAGUGGAGCAAUCCGCGUGGGUUCGAGUCCCACUCUCAUCA
Non-coding RNA from Poronia punctata, 120 nucleotides. The record is from the annotation of a GenBank genome assembly. Lineage: Eukaryota; Fungi; Ascomycota; Sordariomycetes; Xylariales; Xylariaceae.